CGUGUAGGCGGUUGGGUAAGUGGGAUGUGAAAUGCCCCGGCUCACCCGGGGACCGGCAUCCCAAACUGCCUGACUUGAGUAUGGGAGAGGAUGAGGGAAUUCCUGGUGUAGCGGUGAAAUGCGUAGAUAUCAGGAGGAACACCGGUGGCGAAGGCGCUCAUCUGGCCCAAUACUGACGCUGAGGCGCGAAAGCUAGGGGAGCAAACGGGAUUAGAUACCCCGGUAGUCCUAGCCGUAAACGGUGAUCACUAGGUGUUGGAGGCAUCGACCCCUCCAGUGCCGCAGCUAACGCAUUAAGUGAUCCGCCUGGGGAGUACGGCCGCAAGGUUGAA
Molecule: ribosomal RNA, 332 nt
Filed under: uncultured bacterium
Lineage: Bacteria
Description: bacterial SSU rRNA
Rfam family: Bacterial small subunit ribosomal RNA
Source: RNAcentral